CGCAGCGGUACUGACGUGCAAAUCGUUCGUCAGACUUGAGUAUAGGGGCGAAAGACUAAUCGAACCAUCUAGUAGCUGGUUCCCUCUGAAAUUUCUCUCAGGAUAGCUGGAACAAUUUCAAGCAGUUUUAUCAGGUAAAGCGAAUGAUUAGAGGACUCGGAGCUCAAAGAGCUUUGACCUAUUCUCAAACUUUAAAUUGGUAAGAUCUAUUAGUUCUCUUAAUUGAACUGGUAGGCAGAAUGCAUUGUUCCAAGUGGGCUUAUCGUGGUAAGCAUGUUAAGCAAUGAGGGAUGAACCUAACGCUGAGAUAAGGCGCCAAAAUUCCCGCUCAUCAGAUACCAUAAAAGGUGUUGAUUCAUAUAGACAGCAGGACGGUGGCCAUGGAAGUCGGAAUCCGCUAAGGAGUGUGUAACAACUCACCUGCCGAAUGAAUUAGCCCUGAAAAUGGAUGGCGCUGAAGCGGGAUGCCGAUACUCAGCCAUCAAA
RNAcentral lists this ribosomal RNA (486 nucleotides) under uncultured eukaryote. RNAcentral's name for it is "eukaryotic LSU rRNA". It matches the Rfam family "Eukaryotic large subunit ribosomal RNA", at positions 876 to 1359 of the family's 3401-position model. The record is from RNAcentral.